This 293-nucleotide long non-coding RNA is filed under the name Sinocyclocheilus anshuiensis. RNAcentral describes it as "lncRNA (ENSSANG00000038440.1)". The record is from RNAcentral. Lineage: Eukaryota; Metazoa; Chordata; Actinopteri; Cypriniformes; Cyprinidae.
CUUCGAGGGGUUUUUAUUUCUGCAGUUGAAGCAUCUAGAGGCUUUGUUUCUGGAGAACUGCAAAGCUAGUUUGGAUGCAAAGAAGCCGCAAGCAGACAGGAGACAGGAAGUAGUUCCCGCAGAUUCUCCCGCGAGCAGUCUAAACCAAGACGAUGACGUGGACAGCAGCGUGUUUCAAAGUGCAACGCAAAUCACGUCGCUGCGCCAUCGCCGUCGUUAUUCUCCUACAGGAAGUUCAUUUGAGGGGGAGGAGUCAGAACGAGGGGAGGAGCCCAACCCUGAGCUGUAUGUUU